ACAUGAUUUCUACAAGGAUAGCAGUAUUAACAUUCAUGUAUAUCAGCAUUUCAUUGUUUUUAUAUAUGUGUGUGUGGUGAAUUAAAUUGGAGGCACUGGAUGGAAGGGAAUAAUUUUCAGCCCUAAUUCAUCCAUUAACACAUCAGCCAACAGCUGAAUUCUUUGACAUCUCCCAGUAUACACACUCAUUGUUUCUCCAGAUAUCUGCACACAUUUCAGAGUUUUUUCAUAGAUUUUGAAUCACUUCAGGAUCAAAAUGUU
This is a long non-coding RNA of Copidosoma floridanum, 261 nucleotides long. Lineage: Eukaryota; Metazoa; Arthropoda; Insecta; Hymenoptera; Encyrtidae. The record is from RefSeq and is a predicted model, not a curated record.